Molecule: transfer RNA, 97 nt
Filed under: Streptomyces cellostaticus
Lineage: Bacteria; Bacillati; Actinomycetota; Actinomycetes; Kitasatosporales; Streptomycetaceae
Description: tRNA-Leu
Rfam family: tRNA
About the family: Transfer RNA (tRNA) molecules are approximately 80 nucleotides in length.
Source: RNAcentral
GGAGAGGUGCCCGGAGUGGCUGAUCGGGGACCAUGAGCACGCCUCUAGGUCGGGCCCGCAAAGGCCCACGCAGGUUCAAAUCCUGCCCUCUCCGCCA